Long non-coding RNA from Halichondria panicea, 11646 nucleotides. RefSeq lists it as uncharacterized. The transcript has 7 exons. The record is from RefSeq and is a predicted model, not a curated record. Lineage: Eukaryota; Metazoa; Porifera; Demospongiae; Suberitida; Halichondriidae.
CUCAAAAACAAAAGGAGGGGGUGGGGCCCACUCUUUCUGCACAUGCGUAGAUCUCUGAUUGCGACUACCUCGUGGUUGAUAACUCGUGUCAGGGCUAGUGAGAGAAACUCACCAGAGAAUCCAAUGGUGGCCAAGCAACUGAUGUCUCAACUCCUAUAGAUCCUAGUGACAACACAAACCAGCGAGGUUGAUGUCACUGACUACUGAAUGUGCCGGCAGAUACAUGGCACUAUCAUGCAUAUAUCGACUGAACAGCAAGCACUCAAAUAAACAACUCUAAGUGAAAACACAAAUCAGCGAGAUUGACGCUGCAUGCGUGUGCAUGGAUGGAGGCGCGAUGCAGAUACACAGCACUUACAGUGAUCGACUCAACAGUGCGUGCGGCAUGUUGGACAAGCCUUGCAGCUGUAAGGGUCCGAGACUCCCCCCCCCCCUUGAGACCCCUAAUCCAAUUACCCAAGCCCCCUCCCCCCCUGAACACACAACAUCAUACUCACGAAAUAAUAAUGUAUACUGGUACGUGCAACUGAGUCCCGUUCCUAGGACCAAGAUCUGCAGCAGAAAUCAAGAAUGAAACUGGUGUGGACCGUCUCUCUUCCAUUGUCUGAGCUCUGUGCAUAUAAGGCUGAUAUAGUAUCCGGGAAGAAGGAAGAUUUGAAGUUGUUAGAUAUUGCAAAUGGGACCGAAAGCUGAGUUAUUUGCUGUCAUUUGGUCAUCACUGCUCACUAAACAGCUGUCGUUUAGUCUCUGGUGGCUGGGUUGAGGGGUCGCCAUGCUCAAAGACUUGCCGCUUUUCUAAAAGGCGUGGAGAUGACCUGGUAGACAUGGAUGGUUUCUGCCUUUUGGACAAAACGCAGCUCCUGCAACAGCAUAAUUAUGUCAAUCUCAAUUAAAUAUUUGUAAAUGUGUAUAUCUAUAUUAUGACAUAAAUAUCGAUGUCUAGCUGUACUAUGAUUUAAAGAAAGAUUCUCACAUUGUGAAGUCAUCCAUUUUGUAUGCAUUCAUGUACUGCUGAAUGGACACGUUGAAUUCCAGAAGCUUCUCAAUGAAGGCCUUCUUCUCUUCUUGAAUAUCUGGUACAGGCUGUUUGUGCAGCUCAUAGAUCUGUAGUGCUAAUAAACACACAUACUCUAUCCUGCGUGUAUACACUUGCUAAUGACGUGAUUACAACACAUUCCCUUUCUAGAUAUGCGUACAUACAUAUAACUGUAAAUCACCUUAUCUGUUCCUCUUUGAGCCUUAAACUCUACCAAGGAAGCCAAACCAGACUCCUUCAACAUUCCAGCCAGCAAUGGCACCAGCUUUCUUGCCACGACUUUUAAGCAUUAAAAGUGCGCUGAGGUAUAGAACUCUUCCAGGAAGAAGCAGAGAAAACGCAGCGUUUUUCAAAGCAAGUUUGCUGUCGGCAUCAGAUGUUACUAUAGUUACUCCGGGUAUGCAGAUAUUAAAUUUGUUUAUUCUCAUUUGAUUGUUUUCCUUCCGCAUAAAAUCCCUCGGCCUGGUAUUCAGAAAGUAGCAUGACUUCUUCUAAUCAUUGAUCAAUCUGAGUGCCUGGAGUCGCCACUUGCCUCGAGGCAGCAAUAAUGUAGCCAAAUUGCCAUAAUUAAUUGAUCACGCGUUUCAGACAAGAAGUCACGUUUACGUUUUGAUACAUGCACAGUAUGUGUUCAUGCCCGUUUGAUACUCUCUUCUAUUUAUGGACUGUUAAGGUUGCAAUAUUAAUAUAAUUUAAGCAUGAGCAACAAGCAAUUGUAAGGCUACUAAUUGCACAAGGCGUAGUCGGAUGCUUGAGCUUGAACCCAUAGCCAACCCAAUGGAAAGUUUGGGGUGAGUUGGGGACGAUCACAUAAGUGCUGGCCACAACUUUGACACUAUAUAGGGAGGUCUGAGUGUAGAACAAUUGUUAUGAGUGGUAUCGCAAUCUUGACGUACACAUAAUGCUUACAUGUACUCACUGCGGUGCCUUAUCCUGGGUCCCACCCACCAUCACCCCACUGAUAUGCACGUUACGCCCACGCCCACCCCCACCUAGGCUUCAACCACCUUCCUUAUUAUAAACAACAGAGAGCAACUCUACAAGGAAAGUUUGUCAAAUUAUGAUCAAAUGCUAGUAUUACAAGCUGAAAUGCUUCAGAAAUUUGGGCCACAAAUCAUCUGCAUUGAUGACACUCAUAUUGACCGACUAUGUCAGACAUUUCAUCUCUUUCCUCGUUAGUGGCCAUGAAGCAGGGGUGUUGCGUAUACAAGCGUAUACAGCGUUUGGAUGGUCAUUUGUUACUACAUAUGUUACACUUGAAUUAAAGAUAGCUACUUAGCUUUCCUUUAACAACUAAUCUUAAUUAAUGUUGAAGAGAUACUAACUUCACCAUUAGAGGACACGCAUUGGGGUUAUAGGAGUUGCCAUUCUUUCACAGUUGUUCAAACUGGUAAACAACCACACAAAAGGUCACUUACCUUUUAAGUUUGAGAAGCGCUGGACAUCGUUAAUUUAUUUGGAUUUUUAUCGGGCUCACAUAACAAAUAAUUCGCUACACGUUACUACAAGUUUAUCUUACCAUCACUCGAGGAAAGGAUUAUCCUUAUAAUUAUGUUCAAGAUACAGUGCUUACCAUUCUCUUAGCAAUGUUUAAACACUUUACUAGCAAUGUCAUAUUUACUCAUUCUUAAGAAUGUAUAUCAAUCGAAAUUCUAUCUUCUUCGAACCUUUGAGCAUAUGGUUGAAUGAAGGUGCAUGGUACAAUAAUUGUUUUUGUUUUUGGUAGUCUGGAUUAGUUUCAAAAGCUCUGUAUAAGUUGGGAUUGUAGUUCUCUGCCACAGGGACAAGCACUCAACUAUGGGUACUUGUGUGCCGUUUAAAAACUGACAAUUCCUUACUCAGCUUGUUCAGCAUGAGUGAUUCCCAGUGGUUCCACGAACAUUUCCAGGUUGUCAAAAUGAGCGGCCAAAGUUCAACUCCUUUUAUAAUUAUACUGUCAGAAAUGUGUUGAGCUGCAUGCGGGCAGUAAAAUAAUCAUUCAUUUACAAGAAUUGAAGUGAGCAAUGCAUACAUUAAUUUUCAAAUUAAAAUUUGGAAUAUCUGUAGCAUCGCCUUUCUCUCUCCUUUACCCCCCCCCCCCUUCAGUUCAGAAGCUUUGUGCCUAUGUUUUUUUUACUUGUAGUCGAAUAUACAGUCCCAUGCAGGGAAGGAUGAAAACAUAAUAUGUAACAAUUGUAUUGACUUUAACACGCAUCGAGCAUAGUUUAAAUUGUCUGACCAGCUCCUUAUUAUAGCCUGGACCGCUUCCUGCAUGUAGCACGGUAGAUAAUAUAGCUUCCCGUUAGGGUGUCUGCAUGUGCUUCAUGCAUUGAAGCCCUGACACAAAGAUCAAAGUUCUUCUUUCCCACGCCAUUGCCCUCAUUUGUCUUUUUAGAGACUAAGGAAGGCUUCUUUGAGAAUUUGGUCCGGUCAGCAGGUUCACAACAUCCUGAGCUAUACUACACCUUUUAUAUAGUAGACAUGCAUGGUCCAAUUGCAGAUGCUGACCCUGUCAAGGUUCAAGUAGGUACAAAACGAUACAUGGCUUCGCAAAAUUGUGUAAAUAAAUUAAAAAAACUUGAUCCACAGUUUUCGUUUUCUUUAUUAGAUCAAUUGAUAUGAUUUGUUCUGCCAUCGCUGAUGAACUGGCAGACACACAGCAGAAUGUAUACGCUACAGAUAUUUUACAUUAAUUAUCGGUUUUGGUGCCGAUAAUCACUUGUCUUCGCUUUGUGGGGUCAGCAGUCGACCUUGUGGGCUUUCCUCCUAUUCGAUUGGGAGGCAGUAGUACACACCUGUUUGUCCUCGGAGAAUAUCAUGUCGUCCUCAAUUAGGAAAUUCUUUACACUAAGAAAGGUCUUUCUAGACUGUCUUUGCGACUACAGUUGAUCGACAUCUGUACAUAAACUGUCAAUAUAUACUACUCCUAUAUCUAUAUUGCUUCACUUAUCUUUCCUAAAGGGGGCUUCUGUGGCUUGCCAUGACAACACUUAUUAUUAACAGCACAUGGAGCUGUCUUAUAGAACUAUGGUUUAGCUUAUGAUUUAUUGUAAACAGUGGUUGCAUGCCCUUAUUUUUUUAUUUAUAAGAUAAACACAGGUGCAGUUCAAUACAUGUACAAAAAAUAAUUUAUAAUCAGACUAAUUGUGAGGUUCCAGUUAGUUACAGCCAAUGAGGCCACAUUCGGCACUCAUUAGGUCUACAGGAGAUCUUACGAAGCAUCCCGGGUGCGAGCGUACUCCCCUGAUGCAGCGAUCUCAACUAGGAGAAGGUGAGGCGACAUCUCAGCCAGGAUAUGGUUCUAUUAUAAGGAUCGUCUCUUGGAAGCCAGGAGACAGGUUAGGCGCUUAUAAAAAGUAAUUGCCUCCGUUCCGAGUCCACCUGUUACCGAGAAAACCAGGGGUGUGGACGAGGCAUGCUCUACCUCCCUGACUCUUUGUUCGUAGGCGUUCUUUUUCAGUCUUUCGUGUUUCUGAUAGCAAGUGGUGAGAUUAGUGUUUCUGUUUGAGCAAGCAUGUGGGUUGAACACUUGCACGUCACAGAAGGUUCUUUCAUGCCUACCUCCCCAGAAUCCGCUCAUGGCGACGUCUAGUCUUGCCCCAUCUUGUGUGAUGGCAGAGGCUCCCUGAAACGUUUCUCCUGUGACCGGUUGCAGAUCUGUCUUAUAGUAUUCUUGUAAUAGCAAACUUCUCCUGUGGAGAUUGGGUCAGUUCAAGGUAGCAAGGCUUUACUGAGAUUUACUGUGAGCAGCGACAACUUCUUGUGAUGGAGAUUGAGUCAGUUCAAGGUAGCAAGCAAUCCAGUUCUUAGGGAGGACCUGCACAGACUGCUGACGUGACUGUGUGUGUGUGGGAGAGGGGCACACAGUGACAACUUCUUGCGAUGGAAAUCAGUGCAUGCGCAUGCGCUUAUCACUGCGCCCUUAUUCUUGUGAUAAGUAGCCAGAUAUAUACCUGCGAGUGACUUUUAACCAUGCAUGCGUAGCAGUGCGUGUAACGUUAAAUCGUAUCUGGUAUGCCCGCCCCUGCCAUGAGUGCUCAGCUACAAAGCCUUGUUAAACUGGAGAUGAAACCCGCAGAAAACAUCAUAAUUAUAUAUCACAGUACAGGCUGCGAGACAAAUCAGCAGGUCAAGUUGGAGGCGAAGGUCUUGCUUGAGGGAGGGCACGCUACAUGAUGAAUGAUGGUGCUGAAUUCCAGUUGCUGCACACUCAUCCCGCUCACUUCUUCGCCGAGAUUUAAAAAAUUAAUUUAACUUUGCAACUAUAGUCAUAAAAAUUAAUUUGAAACUAAAGAUACAUAACCUGCAUCUUCCUCUGCCCCACAGAGCUCUUAUAAUCAUAUACUAUAUAAUUGUAGUCAGUCCAAUACAUUUAUGGUGCAGUGUUUGUUGUUGAAACAGGCAAAAGAGCCCCCUUAUAGCCGGGUUCAAGUUCCAAGGCAGGACAUUUUCUUCAGUUAAAUAUGUAACACAACACCGAGCCGCCGCAUGUUUUUUAUCUUUCGACCCUGCAGAAGCUCAAAUCGCAGUAGAUGCCAGAGUGAUGUACACCUUAAACAUGUUUGUACUCAAAAUUGUUUGGUAGUAGUUGGUGUCUGUCUGAAUCUGCUGCCAAUGCGCUAUCUUCCUGGUGCACACUUGUUACAGCCGCUGUUGCUUGCCACUUUCUUAAUUCUCGUUGGCGUACUGCUUGCACAUAUAACACAGCGGGCAGUUAAAGAAAUAUGCAUAUCUUGAUUAAUUUACUCUUUUCAAUAUUCACCCUGAUCUCCACAUCAGGGUCCGCGGUGCUUUCAUUAUUAUGUUCUUACUAUAAAUAUAAUUAUAAUUUUGUUUUCCAAUCAACAAAAAAACUUAUUACUAUUACGCUUCAAUACACAACCGAUUUAAUAAUUGAAGUUUACCUCCUACCGGACAUCCCUAGGCUUUCUAUGACAUCGUGGCAUACUCUUAUAUGACGUACAAGGUGGGUUUUGUAUGCCUUCAACCUUCGUAUCUCUGAUAACGCUAUGUGACAGACAUACUUUUUCCUUUUAUAGUCCUCAAGUCAUUGUGAAAUGACACAAAUCAUCAGGACUAAUAAAUUAUUAUGUUUUUAUAUAAUUGUAUUCUCUGUUUAACAAAAUCUUUUUCUUAUUACGUUUCAAUUAACAUUCUGCGUCCCAGACAGGGCCGGCGACUAUGGUAACCAAACUAGACCCAGGGGCAUAGGUUAGGGCCCCAGAGUGGGUGUGUGGGUACUAUAGAAACGUAGAGAGAUGGGGUAUAGUAUGGAUGGCAGAGAUACCGAGACAGGGGCCCUCACCUCCAUGGCCGCUUGACCGGCAACGUUGACUGUCUGCACCAGCAUGGCCUGUAGGGUAGCCAGGGCCGUCGGAGAACCCCCAGGUUCUUGCUCCAGCUGAACUCGAAACCAGGGCCGACGAGACUGGCGCAAUGAGUAAAAUAAAUAAUUGUUCCUGUAGACACUCUUUGGCGAGUUAUGUCUGUAACAGUUUUCUCAAGCAUGGACUUGUAGCAGAGAGAUAUGCGUUGUUUAAGCUCUUCUUCUGUCUGAUACAAGAGAACGCUCACCACCAUCUUAUGAGUGAGACGUGAGUUCUUAUGGAUGAGUCCUUUCUGGGUGCUUGGCAGAAGAAGUGGUGGAGCCAGUGUGUGUACUGUGUGAUGUGUGUGUUAAGUGCGUGAACAGUUGUUGAUGAAGUGGUGAUAGUAUAAUCUUCCUUUGCUCUUGUUUUUCCAAAGUAAUUGAGUGAGUAAAAUGAGGAGGGAAAACAAUGUUAAGUCCUAGCUCUAUAUAUACGGGUACAGGUACCAGCACACACCGCCUUUAAGGUACGUAUAACUGAUGGGGAAAUUUGCUACUGUCAGUGUGGUGCCCCCCCAAACAAGAUACUGUCAGAGUGGUGCCCCCCAAACAAGCUACGGCCAGUGUGGUGCCCCCCAAACAAACGGUGGUGGGCUAAGAUACAACUAUUCCAACGAAACCUCCUUCCCCCGUUACCAACCUCCCAGCCAGACCUCAGCCUGUCAGUGUGGCCACAAUAAUCUUAAUUCUCUUCCUCUUAGGACUUGUGCGUUAGCCAGCAAGUUCAAUUCAAAACCACCAUAAGUACUAAAAUAGCUAUUUCCAUUUGGACUACAAAAUCUGUGUUGUACAAAAUUGAGCCGUUGCUAAGCUAUAAGUAUUAUAAUCUUCCUCUUCCUCAUAAUUAUGUCUGUGACCCUAAAGUGGGCUCAGGUAAGACUAUCCCCAUCCAUGUGAAUGAACCAGAUGCUGCACCACGCGCCCAGACCAGUUUCUGUCUCACCAACAACUGCACUCAGAUUCGUCAUAUCUCCACUAGCACUAAAACCAGACUUUAUACGCUUCUCUGUAGAACAUCAGCCGUAAGGUCAAUACACACCUGAGCAAAUCCGUCUCCUUCUCCGACAUUGUAUAGACUUCACAAGAAUGCAUAGGUUACAUGUACUCUCUCCAUUACUAUACCAGCCAAAUUAUUUUUUUUAUAAAUAGUUUAACUAUAGCUUACCGGAUAAUCUCUUUCCACUUUCGAAUGAAUUGAAUUUUAUCCCAGGCCAUUGCCCUCUUUUCUCUCUUAUCAGUAGAACGUUUCUUCGUACUCGAACUCCAGUCCAUGAAAACAGAUCCAACUAGAAAACAGACACGCUUUCAUUAUCUAGGUUGCUAUUAUUGUGUGUGCAGGUUGGUGGAGGAGCACUCUAAAACACUGGAGAGGGUCACUGAACUAUGGAAGCAGAAGUGGCCGGUCAAUUGGGACGAUGUGCGUAUGCACACACGCCCACGCCUGUGAAACUGUAAAAGAAAUGAUAUACUGUUACUAUACUAUUAUAUAGAGUUUGUAUGCAGCGUAACAAAACAAAAUCGACAAUUAAUGCUACAAAUUAAGACAUAUUGUAUUAGUCGUCAGAUAUAUCGUGAGUGACAUUAACCUUCCAUUUCCUCUCCUCCUCAGUCUUCCUCUUUAAUUUUCAUAUUCGUCAUCCUCCUUCUUCCUUUUUAUUCUCACAGCCUCAUCUCCUCCUCGUUCUCCUCAUAUCUCUUCCUUUUCUUUUCUGCUCCUCCUCCUCCGCACAGGUGGGGGCAUCAGGUUGAGGGUAAGAGAGGAGGGAAGCGUUAGCAAGGGAAUCCUUGGUUGCGUUGAAGGAGGCCAGAGCUGAAUCGUUCCAUGUGAGUGUUUGGGUUUUGGGUUUGAUGAGGGAGUGCAGUGGUUGCAUAAGGUAAAAGUUGGGCCAUUUCCUCCCUCCAGCGCAUUUUUGAUUCAUCAGCUUUUCUUUUUCUCUCCGUUUUCUACAAGAUUUUUACCAUUAUAAGUUGUAAUACUAUAUAUACCUGUACUGGAUCUUCAAGAUCUUUAUCUGGAUUGAAGGUGUAAGCUGUGAAAUUCUGACACACAAAAGAAUGAAAUAAUCAUACCUUGUCGAGCAAUUGUUCAUCGUCUCUUGAUAUUUUUGGGGACAAUGUUCAUAACUGUUUCUUCCGAGCUGAAGACACUUGUACUAGCCAUUUUAAUUUAAUUUUUAAUUCCUUUUUGCAAAUGCAACAACUUUUCGUAACAUCUACUUUUAUAGAACAUGCAACAGGAUCAUCCAGUUGGACCGUUUGAAUUACUUAUUCGAGGCAGAACCAUCAGAAGUGCAUGAUGAGCAGAAUGGGUACGCUUCUCUGUAGAACACCAGCCGUAAGGUCAAUACACACCUGAGCAAAACCGUCUCCUUCUCCGACAUUGUAUAGACUUUGCGAGAAUGCAAAUUGCUGCAAAAGAAAUUAUAUACUGUUACUAUACUAUUAUAUAUAGAGUUUGUAUGCAGCGCAACAAAACAAAAUUGACGAUUAAUGCUACAAAUUAAGACAUAUUGUAUUAGUCAGAUAUACCGCGUGAGUGACUUUAACCUUCUAUUUCCUCUCCUCAGUCUUCCUCUUUAAUUUCCAUAUUUGUCAUCCUCCUUCCUUUUUAUUCUCCACAGCCUCAUCUCCUCCUCGUCCUCCUCAUAUCUCUUCCUUUUCUUUUCUGCUCCUCCUCCUCCACCCUCUUUUUUGGGCCAUUUUCUCCCUCCAGCGCAUUUUUGAUUCAUCGGCUUUUCUUUUUCUCUCCGUUUUCUACAAGAUUUUUACCGUUAUAAGUUGUAAUACUGAUAUAUACCUGUACUGGAUCUUCAAUAUCUAGAUUGAAGGUGUAAGCUGUGAAAUUCUGACACACAAAAGAAUAAAAUAAUCAUACCUUCCAAAUUGUCGAGCAAUUGUUUAUCGUCUCUUGAUAUUUUUGGGGACAAAUGAUUUGUCUCCAUAGCUGUUUCUUUACAGCAUAGCCAUAGAGGAGAAGACCUGACCCGCUGCUAUAUAUAGUGCUUCAUCUCAGCCAAUCAGAAGAAUCUAUAGUGCUAUAUAAAACUCCUCUCUAUCUCUGGUUUAGUUUUAUUACUCCUGAGUUGCUGUGCAAGUCAUGCAUGAUGAUAACUUAGAGUGCCUGGCGGGUCCUUCUUCACCUUCCGAGCCUUCAACCACUUCCUUUUCUUUCGAAGCAGGGACUCCUCAGGAUCGGAAGAGUGUGAACUCAGUUCAACCUGUGUAAAGUGUUGAUUAAGUAGUGUGUAACAAAUGUAUCUUACCUCGGGAAUGUGGUACAUGAGGGGAGAAUCAUCUCUCUCACGUGACGGUUGAAUGAGGGGAGAAGCCUGUGUGAGGGGAGAAGCCUCUUUUCUCACGUGACGGAACAAUGAGGGCUUCCUUAUCCACAUCUGACGGUUGAGAUACGGGAGAAGCCUCUUUCGGUUGAAUGAGGGGAUGUGUGAGGGGACGUGACAGACCAAUGAUAGGGCUCCAGUCUGCCUAAUCUGACGGUUGAGAUGGAUCCAUGUGCUCAGUGCCAUCCAUAAGUUGCUGGGUCGAGGCAGUGACACGCUAUUGAAAUGAGUGACCUGAUUACACUAUAACUAUGAUACUUGACAAACCUGAAGAGUGGGCCAAUCAACUUGUAGGUCCUUGUCAUAGGACCCGUGGAUUUCAGACAGCCUCUCUAUUGUGAUGUUUUGCUGUCGCACGUACAACCUGAGCCUCCGGUUCACGGCUUCUAAGUGGCACACAUUCUUCACAGCCUUUAGUAAUUAACCUUGAAACAUCGAUAUCUUGGAGCAAUAUGUUGUGGAAUUUCUUAGCAAUAAAAGUUAAUCUUGGAGCAAUAUGUUGUGAAAUUUCUUAGCAAUAAUCCGUGGUUAACUUUAACAUCUUCCAUGCAGCUGCAUGUGGGGCCAAUGGUUUGGCACCUCUUCAUCAGCUGGGUAGACACUUUAUUAGUUCAGACUUGUAGUUCAGAGAAGACAAAGUCCUGUUAUCUCACCAAGGACCCCUAACACUUAGUGAGUGACUUUUAAUUAGCACUGCCUUGUGUAUAAUGAAGUGGCUGAAGAUGUUUACAUCUGUAUAGUUAUCUAUUUUGUUAUUAUACCAACAUAAUUAUUUUCACAGGGGUGCGAUUUCACUAGCUGUUUAGCUCAUUUUGCUGGGUGCUUGCUCAUGCAAGUAUCAUAGCAGAAAUUAAUACUCUCGAAAAUAUGUCAUUAUUAUUUGUUUGACAUACGUAGUAGCCAUGACGAGAGAGUUGUUUUUAUAAUCUCAAUUGUCGUGCUUGACCCAGAGCAUCCUAUAUCAUGUGAUUUUUAAUCCAAUUAUUAAAUUGCCCUACACCUAUACUAAACCUUCAAUGUCGCAAGUCUCUAACUGAUUGGCAUUCCAAGAGCACACGGAAAUGCUAGUACAUUGUGUUCCCCACCCCCUUUUUGUAUUUUUGAUUGUGUAUUCCCUCAGCAAGCUAAAGACUAUAUAUAUAACUACCGUCCAAACGUUCUGCUCCUCACAAACGUGCCUACGAGAUGCUCCCCCGACUACUGGGAAACGUGGACAUCCGUAAAACAAAAGCCAAAAUAAUACAGUCAUGUAUAUAGCUCUUGUGAUGUGAUGUACCGUAUUACUUGCUGGUUGCGAAUUCGCUAAAUCAGCAGAAAAAUAGACUCUUGCGAUUCUAUUGCGUUUUGGCAAGGAUUAUGUGCAUACAAUCACCAGUACUAGUAUAGGUUUUGCGAUAUUGCAUAUACAUACGUGUAUAGUAUUUUGAGUACUACCAAUUUUCUUGCAGGCUGCCAAUUCCCAUGGACAUAUUGAAGAAAGAUAGUAUUUUGAGUACUAGAAUCUACCAAUUUUCUUGCAGGCUGCCAAUUCCCAUGGACGUGUUGAAGAAAGAUUCGGCGCAGGAGAUUCAGCAAGCACCUACACAUUGGUCUAGGCUCGUGCUGCAACGUCUCUCCAUUGGAAGGUACGUGGGGUUUUUCAAACAGCUGGUCACUAAUACACUAGCGGCAAUCAAAAGAGUCUCCUCCUCUCUAGACUACGUAAUAUCCAAAGACCCUCCCCCCUCCUCCUCGGCCCUACUGCUAGCUGCCAGUCAGUGACAAAGGGACUCUUACCAAGCGAGUCGAACUCAACACUGACACUGUAGCAAUGCUGGCACUGUAUUGACAACUGUACCAAGACUACGGCGUUUUUAUUUGCUUUUAUCUUUCAGGCCUUUCAAUGUAUAUAUAUAUAUAUACUGCACAUGUGUCAGUUUGUUGUA